RNAcentral lists this ribosomal RNA (1306 nucleotides) under Arthrobacter sp. RNAcentral's name for it is "bacterial SSU rRNA". It matches the Rfam family "Bacterial small subunit ribosomal RNA", at positions 24 to 1342 of the family's 1533-position model. The record is from RNAcentral. Lineage: Bacteria; Bacillati; Actinomycetota; Actinomycetes; Micrococcales; Micrococcaceae.
UCAGGAUGAACGCUGGCGGCGUGCUUAACACAUGCAAGUCGAACGAUGAUGCCCACUUGUGGGUGGAUUAGUGGCGAACGGGUGAGUAACACGUGAGUAACCUGCCCUUAACUCUGGGAUAAGCCUGGGAAACUGGGUCUAAUACCGGAUAUGACUCCUCAUCGCAUGGUGGGGGGUGGAAAGCUUUUUGUGGUUUUGGAUGGACUCGCGGCCUAUCAGCUUGUUGGUGAGGUAAUGGCUCACCAAGGCGACGACGGGUAGCCGGCCUGAGAGGGUGACCGGCCACACUGGGACUGAGACACGGCCCAGACUCCUACGGGAGGCAGCAGUGGGGAAUAUUGCACAAUGGGCGCAAGCCUGAUGCAGCGACGCCGCGUGAGGGAUGACGGCCUUCGGGUUGUAAACCUCUUUCAGUAGGGAAGAAGCGAAAGUGACGGUACCUGCAGAAGAAGCGCCGGCUAACUACGUGCCAGCAGCCGCGGUAAUACGUAGGGCGCAAGCGUUAUCCGGAAUUAUUGGGCGUAAAGAGCUCGUAGGCGGUUUGUCGCGUCUGCCGUGAAAGUCCGGGGCUCAACUCCGGAUCUGCGGUGGGUACGGGCAGACUAGAGUGAUGUAGGGGAGACUGGAAUUCCUGGUGUAGCGGUGAAAUGCGCAGAUAUCAGGAGGAACACCGAUGGCGAAGGCAGGUCUCUGGGCAUUAACUGACGCUGAGGAGCGAAAGCAUGGGGAGCGAACAGGAUUAGAUACCCUGGUAGUCCAUGCCGUAAACGUUGGGCACUAGGUGUGGGGGACAUUCCACGUUUUCCGCGCCGUAGCUAACGCAUUAAGUGCCCCGCCUGGGGAGUACGGCCGCAAGGCUAAAACUCAAAGGAAUUGACGGGGGCCCGCACAAGCGGCGGAGCAUGCGGAUUAAUUCGAUGCAACGCGAAGAACCUUACCAAGGCUUGACAUGGGCCGGACCGGGCUGGAAACAGUCCUUCCCCUUUGGGGCCGGUUCACAGGUGGUGCAUGGUUGUCGUCAGCUCGUGUCGUGAGAUGUUGGGUUAAGUCCCGCAACGAGCGCAACCCUCGUUCCAUGUUGCCAGCGCGUAAUGGCGGGGACUCAUGGGAGACUGCCGGGGUCAACUCGGAGGAAGGUGGGGACGACGUCAAAUCAUCAUGCCCCUUAUGUCUUGGGCUUCACGCAUGCUACAAUGGCCGGUACAAAGGGUUGCGAUACUGUGAGGUGGAGCUAAUCCCAAAAAGCCGGUCUCAGUUCGGAUUGGGGUCUGCAACUCGACCCCAUGAAGUCGGAGUCGCUAGUAAU